This 193-nucleotide ribosomal RNA is filed under the name uncultured Staphylococcus sp. RNAcentral's name for it is "partial 16S ribosomal RNA". It matches the Rfam family "Bacterial small subunit ribosomal RNA", at positions 339 to 524 of the family's 1533-position model. Lineage: Bacteria; Bacillati; Bacillota; Bacilli; Caryophanales; Staphylococcaceae. The record is from RNAcentral.
UUACGGGAGGCAGCAGUAGGGAAUCUUCCGCAAUGGGCGAAAGCCUGACGGAGCAACGCCGCGUGAGUGAUGAAGGUCUUCGGAUCGUAAAACUCUGUUAUUAGGGAAGAACAAAUGUGUAAGUAACUAUGCACGUCUUGACGGUACCUAAUCAGAAAGCCACGGCUAACUACGUGCCAGCAGCCGCGGUAAU